This 849-nucleotide long non-coding RNA is filed under the name Salmo salar (Atlantic salmon). RNAcentral describes it as "lncRNA (ENSSSAG00000087855.1)". The record is from RNAcentral. Lineage: Eukaryota; Metazoa; Chordata; Actinopteri; Salmoniformes; Salmonidae.
CUGAGGUGAGGUACAGUAAUAAGGAGUAGCCCUCCCUCCCUCCCUCUGAUUAGAGACCCCAGACCAGGAUGUGAGCUCCAGAGACUUGAAGGAGACUGAGGUGAGGUACAGUAAUAAGGAGAAGCCCUCCCUCCCUCUGAUUAGAGACCCCAGACCAGGAUGUGAGCUCCAGAGACUUGAAGGAGACUGAGGUGAGGUACAGUAAUAAGGAGUAGCCCUCCCUCCCUCUGAUUAGAGACCCCAGACCAGGAUGUGAGCUCCAGAGACUUGAAGGAGACUGAGGUGAGGUACAGUAAUAAGGAGUAGCCCUCCCUCCCUCCCUCUGAUUAGAGACCCCAGACCAGGAUGUGAGCUCCAGAGACUUGAAGGAGACUGAGGUGAGGUACAGUAAUAAGGAGUAGCCCUCCCUCCCUCCCUCUGAUUAGAGACCCCAGACCAGGAUGUGAGCUCCAGAGACUUGAAGGAGACUGAGGUGAGGUACAGUAAUAAGGAGAAGCCCUCCCUCCCUCCCUCUGAUUAGAGACCCCAGACCAGGAUGUGAGCUCCAGAGACUUGAAGGAGACUGAGGUGAGGUACAGUAAUAAGGAGUAGCCCCCCUCCCUCCCUCUGAUUAGAGACCCCAGACCAGGAUGUGAGCUCCAGAGACUUGAAGGAGACUGAGGUGAGGUACAGUAAUAAGGAGAAGCCUCCUCCCUCCCUCUGAUUAGAGACCCCAGACCAGGAUGUGAGCUCCAGAGACUUGAAGGAGACUGAGGUGAGGUACAGUAAUAAGGAGUAGCCCUCCCUCCCUCCCUCUGAUUAGAGACCCCAGACCAGGAUGUGAGCUCCAGAGACUUGAAGGAGACUGAG